RNAcentral lists this ribosomal RNA (216 nucleotides) under Glomeromycotina sp. RNAcentral describes it as "partial small subunit ribosomal RNA". The stretch from base 40 to 216 matches the Rfam family "Eukaryotic small subunit ribosomal RNA", at positions 686 to 864 of the family's 1831-position model. The record is from RNAcentral. Lineage: Eukaryota; Fungi; Glomeromycota.
GGGUCAGUAGGUUGGUCGUGCCACCGGUACGUACUGGUCUCACUGAUUCCUCCUUCCUGAAGAACCGUAAUGCCAUUAAUUUGGUGUUGCGGGGAAACAGGACUUUUACUUUGAAAAAAUUAUAGUGUUUAAAGCAAGCUAACGCUUGAAUACAUUAGCAUGGAAUAAUGAAAUAGGACGAUCGAUCCUAUUUUGUUGGUUUCUAGGAUUGACGUA